CAUACCCCAAAGUCAGGGAUAAUCCGUCGAAAGGCGGGAUAAUACUUGAUAGUCUCUUCGGAGUAAAAAUUUAUUGCUUUGGGAAUGGCCUGCGUUCUAUCAGCUUGUUGGUAAGGUAACGGCUUACCAAGGCUAUGACGGAUAGGGGAGGUGAGAGCCUGACCCCCACCGAUGGAACUGCGACACGGUCCAUACUCCUACGGGAGGCCGCAGUCGAGAAUCUUCCGCAAUGGACGAAAGUCUGACGGAGCGACGCCGCGUGGUGGAUGAAGCCCUUGGGGGCGUAAACACCUUUUAUGGAGGAGGAAUUUUAUUGACGUUACUCCAUGAAUAAGGGGCUCCCAAUUCUGUGCCAGCAGGAGCGGUAAUACAGAAGCCUCAAGCGUUACCCGGAUUCACUGGGCGUAAAGGGUUCGUAGGCGGUUAUAUUAGUCGGACGUUAAAUCCUGAGGCUCAACCUCAGGCUCGCGUUCGAAACGGUAUAACUAGAAGAAGUGAGAGGUGAACAGAACUCAUGGUGUAGGGGUGAAAUCCGUUGAUAUCAUGGGGAAUACCAAAUGCGAAGGCAGUUCACUGGCACUUUCUUGACGCUGAGGAACGAAAGCGUGGGUAGCGAACGGGAUUAGAUACCCCGGUAGUCCACGCCCUAAACGCUGUCCGCUGGUUUUUGGAGGAAUCGACCCUUUCAGAGACGAAGCUAACGCAUUAAGCGGACCGCCUGGGUAGUACGAGCGCAAGCUUAAAACUCAAAGGAAUUGACGG
RNAcentral lists this ribosomal RNA (762 nucleotides) under uncultured bacterium. Its description in RNAcentral is "bacterial SSU rRNA". It matches the Rfam family "Bacterial small subunit ribosomal RNA", at positions 125 to 916 of the family's 1533-position model. The record is from RNAcentral.